RNAcentral lists this ribosomal RNA (470 nucleotides) under uncultured bacterium. Its description in RNAcentral is "bacterial SSU rRNA". It matches the Rfam family "Bacterial small subunit ribosomal RNA", at positions 8 to 524 of the family's 1533-position model. The record is from RNAcentral.
AGAGUUUGAUCCUGGCUCAGGACGAACGCUGGCGGCAGGCUUAACACAUGCAAGUCGAACGCUCUCUUCGGAGAGAGUGGCAGACGGGUGAGUAACGCGUGGGAAUCUACCCAGUACUACGGAACAACACAGAGAAAUUUGUGCUAAUACCGUAUACGCCCUCCGGGGGAAAGAUUUAUCGGUAUUGGAUGAGCCCGCGUUUGAUUAGCUAGUUGGUGAGGUAACGGCUCACCAAGGCGACGAUCAAUAGCUGGUCUGAGAGGACGAUCAGCCACACUGGGACUGAGACACGGCCCAGACUCCUACGGGAGGCAGCAGUGGGGAAUAUUGGACAAUGGGGGAAACCCUGAUCCAGCCAUGCCGCGUGUGUGAUGAAGGCCCUAGGGUUGUAAAGCACUUUCAACGGUGAAGAUAAUGACGGUAACCGUAGAAGAAGCUCCGGCUAACUUCGUGCCAGCAGCCGCGGUAAU